AUUUGGUAGCUGUACAUCGGAAUUUUUUAAAAUGUAUGCUAAAGGUCAUACGAUUCCAUCCUUCAUUCUUUUUUGUAAACUUAUCGAUUUUUAAAAAAAGAAAAAAAAAAAUCAUCAAAGUUUGUUUGGUCUUUACAGGUACUCCGACUCUUGGACAGUCUUCAUAUAAACUUUCUGUUGUGGAAACUGCAGAGUUAAUACUGUGGCUCGCGUCCUCUGUGCUGACCUCAUGGUGUAACCACGAGUAAAGAUGAGCAUAAGCAGUGAUGAGGUCAACUUCCUCGUUUACAGAUACCUGCAGGAGUCUGGCUUCUCCCAUUCAGCGUUCACGUUUGGUAUAGAGAGCCACAUCAGCCAGUCGAACAUCAACGGCGCCCUGGUGCCCCCUGCUGCUCUCAUCUCCAUCAUACAGAAGGGCCUGCAGUACGUGGAGGCAGAAGUCAGCAUCAACGAGGAUGGCACCCUGUUUGACGGCCGGCCGAUCGAAUCGCUCUCGCUUAUUGAUGCAGUGAUGCCCGACGUGGUGCAGACGCGACAGCAGGCCUACCGGGAUAAGCUGGCCCAGCAACAGGCCGCUGCAGCACCCCCUGCUGCCACCAGCUUGCAGGGCAGCGCUAAGAAUGGCGAGAGCACCACCAACGGCGAGGAGAAUGGGGCUCACACCUUAGCAAACAACCAUGCCGACAUGAUGGAGGUGGAUGGUGAUGUGGAGAUCCCGCAGAACAAAGCCAUGGUGCUACGUGGCCACGAGUCAGAGGUUUUCAUCUGCGCCUGGAAUCCUGUCAGUGACCUCCUCGCCUCUGGGUCCGGGGACUCGACGGCUCGCAUCUGGAACCUGAGCGAGAACAGUAGCAGCGGCUCCACGCAGCUCGUGCUGCGGCACUGCAUACGAGAAGGAGGGCAGGAUGUGCCGAGCAACAAGGACGUCACGUCACUAGACUGGAAUAGUGAAGGCACACUACUAGCAACUGGCUCUUAUGAUGGAUUUGCAAGAAUAUGGACGAAAGAUGGUAAUCUUGCCAGUACCUUGGGUCAGCACAAGGGUCCUAUUUUUGCCUUGAAGUGGAAUAAAAAAGGAAAUUUCAUUCUCAGUGCUGGUGUUGAUAAGACCACAAUCAUUUGGGAUGCUCACACCGGAGAAGCAAAGCAACAGUUUCCCUUUCAUUCAGCUCCUGCACUGGAUGUGGACUGGCAAAGUAACAACACGUUUGCUUCGUGCAGCACUGAUAUGUGUAUCCACGUGUGUAAACUUGGCCAGGACAGACCCAUCAAGACAUUCCAGGGGCACACAAAUGAAGUGAAUGCAAUCAAGUGGGAUCCGACUGGCAAUCUACUGGCAUCCUGUUCGGAUGACAUGACCCUGAAGAUCUGGAGUAUGAAACAAGACACCUGUGUUCAUGAUUUGCAAGCGCACAGCAAAGAAAUUUAUACUAUUAAAUGGAGUCCCACUGGGCCUGGAACCAACAACCCUAAUGCCAACCUUAUGCUUGCCAGUGCGUCCUUCGACUCGACUGUUCGACUGUGGGAUGUCGACCGAGGGAUCUGCAUCCACACAUUGACCAAACAUCAGGAACCCGUGUACAGUGUUGCCUUCAGCCCAGACGGCAGAUACUUGGCCAGUGGCUCCUUUGACAAGUGUGUCCAUAUCUGGAACACGCAGACUGGUUCUUUAGUUCAUAGCUACAGGGGAACAGGAGGCAUCUUUGAGGUUUGUUGGAAUGCCACAGGGGACAAAGUGGGCGCAAGUGCAUCAGACGGAUCGGUGUGUGUAUUAGACCUGCGGAAAUAACACUGCUUGUUGGAAGCCAUGGACCGACUAUGAAUGUGUACAUAGCCAAAAUUGACUGUCCCUGCCUCGUUUACUGCUGCGGUCCCAUCGGAACCAUGGCCGACCACUACAGCCAAAACAAGCAGAAUGAAGAAGAGAAGAGGGCGCGCUCCUACCCUGUUGUCCACGCUGGGGACACCACCCACUGACGCAAAACCGAUGUUAUGUGUCGACUUGGAAACGGAGGAAUAAGGACCCGUAUACAUGUACCAAAAUCUGAAAGAUUUCUUUUGGUUAGCCAAACCAAGGAUUUUUAUUCUUUAUUGGUAGAUCACUAUGUGUGUGACAUAUCUGCUUCACAUGUGGCAGGAGGAUUUUUUCCUUUCUAAACGUUUUUUUUUUUUUUUUUUUUUUUUUUUUUUAAUUUUAAUUUGAAUUUUUUUGUUUAGGUUACAGCUGCAUGAAAUGGCGGAGUCGAAUCGGCUUCCUCCACUUCUUCUGGAGAGAAUGCAGUUUUAAAAUGUCUUUGGCACUGUACGUAAUAUGGUUCAAACACGUGGGGCUGCUGUUUUUUUAUUUUAUUUUAAUUUUUAAUUUUCCUUUCUCUACUUUUGACUAUGGUUUUACUGUUGACAUACAGGUGCAGCAGAUUUUUUUAAGGGGAUAUUUAUUCUGCGGAAUAUAAAGGAAUACUAAAAAUAAGGUGGGCACAAAAAUUUGAGAAGAUGCAUUAUGCAUCAUUUUGCUUUAAAACCAUAAUUAUGGUUAGAUUGUGCACUAUUGAUAAAGCAACAUAAAAAUGUUCAUUCAUAGAACAUUCUGGACAAAGGAUGACUGCUGUAAGUGUAUUCAGGAAUCUCCCUUCAUUAGUAUAUUGCAGAUAACUUGUUGGUUCACAACAAAAUUAGACUUCAGUAUUAAUCACUGAUGAGGUGUAGCCUAUACGAAAUGUGCAUGGCACAGUUUAUUAAAAACGAACAUUAGAUAGACUAACAUCUACAAUAUAUCACUAGAAAAGGGAAGACUUGCUUUUUUUGAUAAACUUGUAAACUUGAACUUUUCCAGUUAAUGUUUCAUAGUUUUUCAUAUUUAGUUUUUUGACAGAAAUGCAGUAGUGCAGCAUCAAAUGUUGUUUUAAAUAUUAAAAGCUUAAAGCCAGUCUGGGUGCUGGGCAGGUGGAAGAAACUGCAGAGAGUGAUAUGGAACAAGCAUUGUAACCACAUCGAAACCUUAUUCACAGGACAUUGUUUUAUAUAUUACUCAUAAAUAAGGGUAGUUUUAUAGUGUAUUAUUUUGUGCCGUUUAAAACACAAUUGCCAGUGUGUGGAAAUUACACAUUACGUGGAAUGUUUUUACCAGACAGUGGUUCUCUCAGUUGUUGCUUCAGAAAAUCCAAUAAGAUUCUCCUAAAGAGGAUCAUUCUUUUGUCUUCUGUCUCACAUGUCUUUUGGCGGCUGAAACUAUUUUUUUUUUUUUUUUUUUUUAAAUAAAUUGUCCCCAGGAUUUGGCUGUUUAAAAUAU
Scleropages formosus (Asian bonytongue) is the source of this 3289-nucleotide long non-coding RNA. Lineage: Eukaryota; Metazoa; Chordata; Actinopteri; Osteoglossiformes; Osteoglossidae. The record is from Ensembl.